UACGUAGGGUGCGAGCGUUAAUCGGAAUUACUGGGCGUAAAGCGUGCGCAGGCGGUUUUGUAAGACAGGUGAGAAAUCCCCGGGCUUAACCUGGGAACUGCGCUUGUGACUGCAAGACUCGAGUACGGCAGAGGGGGGUAGAAUUCCACGUGUAGCAGUGAAAUGCGUAGAGAUGUGGAGGAAUACCGAUGGCGAAGGCAGCCCCCUGGGCUAACACUGACGCUCAGGCACGAAAGCGUGGGGAGCAAACAGG
RNAcentral lists this ribosomal RNA (253 nucleotides) under uncultured bacterium. RNAcentral's name for it is "partial 16S ribosomal RNA". It matches the Rfam family "Bacterial small subunit ribosomal RNA", at positions 524 to 776 of the family's 1533-position model. The record is from RNAcentral.